Molecule: ribosomal RNA, 253 nt
Filed under: uncultured bacterium
Lineage: Bacteria
Description: partial 16S ribosomal RNA
Rfam family: Bacterial small subunit ribosomal RNA
Source: RNAcentral
UACAGAGGUCUCAGGCGUUGUUCGGAUUCAUUGGGCGUAAAGGGUGCGUAGGCGGCGCGGUAAGUCGGGUGUGAAAUCUCGGAGCUUAACUCCGAAACUGCAUUCGAUACUGCCGUGCUUGAGGACUGGAGAGGAGACUGGAAUUUACGGUGUAGCGGUGAAAUGCGUAGAUAUCGUAAGGAAGACCAGUGGCGAAGGCGGGUCUCUGGACAGUUCCUGACGCCGAGGCACGAAGGUCAGGGGAGCAAACGGG